GAACGCUGGCGGCGUGCUUAACACAUGCAAGUCGAGCGAUGAAGCACCUUCGGGUGUGGAUUAGCGGCGAACGGGUGAGGAACACGUGAAGAAUCUGCCUUCAACUCUGGGAUAACUCCGGGAAACCGGGGCUAAUACCGGAUAUGAGCCUUGGCCGCAUGGCCGGGGCUGGAAAGUUUUUCGGUUGAAGAUGACUUCGCGGCCUAUCAGCUUGUUGGUGAGGUAACGGCUCACCAAGGCGACGACGGGUAGCCGGCCUGAGAGGGCGACCGGCCACACUGGGACUGAGACACGGCCCAGACUCCUACGGGAGGCAGCAGUGGGGAAUAUUGGGCAAUGGAGGAAACUCUGACCCAGCGACGCCGCGUGAGGGAUGAAGGCCUUCGGGUUGUAAACCUCUUUCAGUAGGGAAGAAGCGAAAGUGACGGUACCUACAGAAGAAGCACCGGCUAACUAUGUGCCAGCAGCCGCGGUAAUACAUAGGGUGCAAGCGUUGUCCGGAAUUAUUGGGCGUAAAGAGCUCGUAGGUGGUUCGAUACGUCGGAUGUGAAAAUCAGGGGCUCAACCCCUGACCUGCAUUCGAUACGGUCGAGCUAGAGUUUGGUAGGGGAGACUGGAAUUCCUGGUGUAGCGGUGGAAUGCGCAGAUAUCAGGAGGAACACCGAUGGCGAAGGCAGGUCUCUGGGCCAAUACUGACACUGAGGAGCGAAAGCGUGGGGAGCGAACAGGAUUAGAUACCCUGGUAGUCCACGCCGUAAACGGUGGGCGCUAGUUGUGCGAACCUUCCACGGUUUGUGCGACGCAGCUAACGCAUUAAGCGCCCCGCCUGGGGAGUACGAUCGCAAGAUUAAAACUCAAAUGAAUUGACGG
RNAcentral lists this ribosomal RNA (870 nucleotides) under uncultured Actinomycetales bacterium. RNAcentral describes it as "bacterial SSU rRNA". It matches the Rfam family "Bacterial small subunit ribosomal RNA", at positions 31 to 916 of the family's 1533-position model. The record is from RNAcentral. Lineage: Bacteria; Bacillati; Actinomycetota; Actinomycetes; Actinomycetales.